This 459-nucleotide ribosomal RNA is filed under the name uncultured bacterium. RNAcentral describes it as "partial 16S ribosomal RNA". It matches the Rfam family "Bacterial small subunit ribosomal RNA", at positions 338 to 795 of the family's 1533-position model. The record is from RNAcentral.
CCUACGGGAGGCAGCAGUGAGGAAUAUUGGUCAAUGGUCGGGAGACUGAACCAGCCAAGCCGCGUGAGGGAUGAAGGUACAGAGUAUCGUAAACCUCUUUUGUCAGGGAACAAAGGCGGGAUCGCGUCCCUGAACGAGGGUACUUGAAGAAAAAGCAUCGGCUAACACCGUGCCAGCAGCCGCGGUAAUACGGAGGAUGCGAGCGUUAUCCGGAUUUAUUGGGUUUAAAGGGUGCGCAGGCGGGGUGUUAAGUCAGCGGUAAAAGCCCGGGGCUCAACCCCGGCCGGCCGUUGAAACUGGCAGUCUUGAGUACAGUAGAGGUGGGCGGAAUUCGUGGGGUAGCGGUGAAAUGCUUAGAUAUCACGAAGAACUCCGAUUGCGAAGGCAGCUCACUGGACUGCAACUGACACUGAGGCUCGAAAGUGUGGGUAUCAAACAGGAUUAGAUACCCCUGUAGUC